Long non-coding RNA from Salvia miltiorrhiza (redroot sage), 2322 nucleotides. RefSeq lists it as uncharacterized. Lineage: Eukaryota; Viridiplantae; Streptophyta; Magnoliopsida; Lamiales; Lamiaceae. The record is from RefSeq and is a predicted model, not a curated record. The transcript is spliced from 2 exons.
UUAUAUAAAGGAAAAUAAUUUAGCUUAACUACUUGUCAAAGAAGACCACGAUGGGCCGUGCAAUAUUAUCCAAAAGGGGUACUCAACGAGUUUGAGUACAUUGUUAAUAAUACAUAAUGGUUUGACAAAAUAACAUAAUAUCUUUAAGCAUAAUCAGUGUUCGCAGUAAAAAAAAAAUAGUAAUUCGAGUAUAUGUAUGAAGACAUAUACUCUACUCUGAGGUUCUCAUUCUAGAUUGACAAAAGCUCCGCUUGCACACUGCAUCUCCAAUCACGGCUCAACCUGCACAUUUAUAAAUACAUGCAGGGCUAAGUACGGAAGUACUUAGUGGACACUUGCCGAAAUUUACAUACAUGCAUAAUAUUUUAUUGUCAAGCCUUUCAUCAGUAGUAAGAUACGAGGGUUUUCUUUUAAAGACUCGUAUUUACUACAAAUAUCAUUUCUUUCAUAAAUAACCCGCGCAGGCAUUUUAUAUCAUUAAUCACCAUAUCAGUAACUCGUGCCGAGAGGGAGGCCUCCCUCUACGGACACUAUGAUCGGCCAACCCGCUAGGUGACUCACGAUCACAAAGGUGUACACUAAUUCCGAAGGGAUUUGCGAUCCCAUCCAGAAUCUGAAUUCGAUUAACAUCAGAUAGGCAAUUACUAAUGAAACAUAAAGCAUUUAGGCAUUGACAAUAUCAUUUAAAUUUAUAAGCAUAAAGUCUUAGAAAUUCUAAAAUAUGGUUUUAGUUUAUACGUAGAAAGCCCACCUGAUAGUAAAGACUCACGGCUAAGCUUUAACUCUUGUGCUUGACCUUUAAUCCGAGAAAAUAAAGUAAGAUUUUGAUUCGAGGGAAAUUCUCAAAUGAAUGCGAAUGCAUAAAAUAACUAUGCAUGACCCUUAUUCCAUUAAUUAUUAAUCUGAGAUAAUAAACCGAGAAAUUUCUAAUAAUAAUCCAACUAUAAGAUUAAAACUCGUUUUGCUAAUUAAUAAACUGCUCUAAUUAAUCUAUUAUGAGGAGAUAGUUAAAUCCAUUAUUACUAAAUAAAUCUUGAACUAGUCUUUAGUUGGGCUUGAAUUAAUAGAAAUGACAGCCCAAGAAUAAAGAAAUACAAGCCCCAAAAGGUGGCCCAACACACUCACUCUCCCUUAUUUUAACGGCUGGAACAGCCACCCUUCCAUUCCUCAAUUUCCUCCGCCCAAAUCAGUCGCCUCUCUUCCCAAAUCUCGCCGGUGCUGCUCCUCCUUCGGCGAGCGCCUCGUCCGUUUUUUUGCCGAGGCCGGCGCUCGUUUAUUGUCGAUGCCACAUCCUCUUUUAUUUCCUUCUCGAGUUCUCCACUCGUGAAUCGCCAAGCCGAGCCCUAGCCGUCGAAGAUCUGCUGCCGUCGCUUCUGUCGUUCCGGAGAACGACAUCUCCUCCUUUAACUCUCGGCGCUGCACUCCUUCAAUCAAUAAUUGAAAAAGGCGAAUCAUGAUGAGCCCUAGCUCCUCCAAAAAGUUGAAAUCAUCGCCGCCGUGGUUUCAAAUGGGUGACCGGCGAACGGUCACCGCCAGUGAAUGUGGCCGCCUCUCACUAUCCGCCGUCCUUCUGUCAGUCGGCGAGCACUCCUCCAUGGCUGUUGUUCAGUUAAUGGCGAGCAGGGGAGUCCGCCAUUUCCAGUGUUUCUCCGAGUUUCAAUGCCGAGGGGAGCUCCGUUGUCGCGCCGCUGCCAUGGAGAGACCGGCGAACGCCUGCUGCUCCAUACGCGAUGCCACUAUUGGCGUUUCAGAAUAUCACCGAGGCAGCAAGAGCUACCGUCGUCGUUGCCGUCUUGGCUCGACUGAACAGGGCCGAUUUCGACGCCUUCUUAAAAGCUAAGUGGAAUCAUGGAAGGAUGCAGAACAUUGAAGCCAAGCUUACCUUGAGAAUACUUGGCAGAAACGAAUUAAAGGCUCCCUUCCAUUCGUGAAGUCCUCAAAUGAAGAAUGAAGAGAAUGCAACAAUUGUUGGCUGGUUUGAAUAACAAAAAAGGUUUGGCUGGAAGCUUGUGUACAUGCGAAGAGGUACAGUCUAGGGUGGCUGAUUGACUUGUUAGGUGUACUUGGGUAUGGCUUACUGCUGCUGCAGAAAGUGGGGAUGGGACGGUGACUUGCAAAGGAAGAGGGAGUUGGCCUGCUCCAGCCGCAGAGAGGGGGAAAUAGGGGAGAGAGUUGCUGCACGUUUCUCCUCCUUUUUCUUUUUAUCCCUCUUCCUUUCUUUUCCUAAAUCUUUGGGUGUUGGCAGACAAGUUAGAGGUAGGAAGUUGUACUAUUGGAAUGAUUGUUGUGUGACUAAAUAAAAUCUUUCAGUGUUGGUCGUCC